GGGGGCUUCUCCCAGAGGCAGGGCUCACCUCACUGGGUGUGGAAACCCUGCCUCUCUGUGUCCCAUCUCCCAAACACAUUCUCUCCCGCCUCCCCCAACCUCCUUUACCACCAACAGCUGCAGAAUUUCAGCCCAGAGCAUAAAAGACAGGUGAUUGUCUUUGCCUUUGUUCUUUUAAGAAGAAAAACAAUGAGGAGACAAACCCUAGGAAAUCAAGUGAGGGAAAAAUCCAAUCCUGCUUUCUGAGGAAAUGUUAAAUCAGCGAACUGAAAUGCCGACAUGAAAGCAGGAAGGCCGGUGGAACCUGUCACACCCGGGCCAGCAGAUCUAGGUAAGAGGAGCUGAGGCUUGCCACUAUCUAAACUGCUGUCUCCAAAUUCAUCCUGCCUGCGUCCUGGAUGCUGCAGUGUGAACACAAGAUCAUGCCUCUGGCUCACCCUACUAUCCUGCUUGAGAUUUCCGGACCUGCCCAUUUGCUGCAUAGUUAGAUGUGGCACACACGAGGCCACAAGGAUUAGGAAUGGAGGAUUGUGGUCAUUUAUGGUGGCAGAUCUGGCCUCUACUUAGCCAGACAUCUGUGAAGGGGUUUGGGGCCUGAAGUCCCCAGGGAAUGGAAGGUGAGACUGGCCCCUUAUACCAGACCUGACCAGCAAACAAUUUCACACUCAAUUCCUUGGUGAACUCACCCUCCUCCACCAGCCUCUCACACUUCCCCAGAUGUGGGGAAAAGCAAGAGAGAUCAGAUUGUUACUGUGUC
RNAcentral lists this long non-coding RNA (757 nucleotides) under Homo sapiens (human). Its description in RNAcentral is "HSALNT0105255". The record is from RNAcentral. Lineage: Eukaryota; Metazoa; Chordata; Mammalia; Primates; Hominidae.